This 271-nucleotide ribosomal RNA is filed under the name uncultured prokaryote. RNAcentral's name for it is "partial 16S ribosomal RNA". It matches the Rfam family "Bacterial small subunit ribosomal RNA", at positions 524 to 794 of the family's 1533-position model. The record is from RNAcentral.
UACGUAGGAGGCAAACGUUAUCCGGAUUUACUGGGCGUAAAGCGCGUGUAGGUGGUUCUGUAAGUAGGGCGUGAAAGCUCCCGGCUCAACUGGGAGAGGCCGUUCUAAACUGCAGAGCUAGAGGAUGGUAGAGGGAGGUGGAAUUCCAGGUGUAGCGGUGGAAUGCGCAGAUAUCUGGAGGAACACCAGUGGCGAAGGCGGCCUCCUGGACCAUUCCUGACACUCAGACGCGAAAGCUAGGGUAGCAAACGGGAUUAGAUACCCUGGUAGU